Molecule: ribosomal RNA, 91 nt
Filed under: uncultured Mortierella
Lineage: Eukaryota; Fungi; Mortierellomycota; Mortierellomycetes; Mortierellales; Mortierellaceae
Description: partial 5.8S ribosomal RNA
Source: RNAcentral
ACAGAGUAUAGAUUACCACCGUAGCGAAAUGCGCUACUUCCUGNGAAUUNCGGAAUUCAGUGCAUCAUCGAAUCUUUGCACGCAUAUUGCG